Molecule: ribosomal RNA, 407 nt
Filed under: uncultured bacterium
Lineage: Bacteria
Description: partial 16S ribosomal RNA
Rfam family: Bacterial small subunit ribosomal RNA
Source: RNAcentral
AGUGAACGCUAGCGAUAGGCUUAACACAUGCAAGUCGAGGGACCGGCGCACGGGUGCGUAACGCGUAUGCAACUUGCCUCACAGAGGGGGAUAACCCGUCGAAAGACGGACUAAUACCGCGUACUGUGAGAUAGGCAUUCGGCCCAUUAGCUAGUUGGUGAGGUAACGGCUCACCAAGGAAACGCUGGGUAGGGGAACUGCGAGGUUGAACCCGUGCACUGGUACUGAGACACGGACCAGACGCCUACGGGAGGCAGCAGUGAGUAAUAUUGGUCAAUGGGCGAGAGCCUGAACCAGCCAAUUCGCGUGAAGGAUGACUGUCUAUUGAUUGUAAACGUCUUUUGUAGGGGAAUAUGUACCCUACGAAUAAGCAGCGGCUAACUCCGUGCCAGCCGCCGCGGUAAUUC